RNAcentral lists this non-coding RNA (160 nucleotides) under Neglectibacter timonensis. Its description in RNAcentral is "Lysine riboswitch". It matches the Rfam family "Lysine riboswitch aptamer". From Rfam's summary of the family: Riboswitches are metabolite binding domains within certain messenger RNAs that serve as precision sensors for their corresponding targets. Allosteric rearrangement of mRNA structure is mediated by ligand binding, and this results in modulation of gene expression. Lineage: Bacteria; Bacillati; Bacillota; Clostridia; Eubacteriales; Oscillospiraceae. The record is from RNAcentral.
GAAAUAGAGGCGCAGCUUUCAAAAGUAAUGGGAUCGAGGUUGCCAGGACUGUUGAAGUUCUAUGAAAGGGUGGGCUGCCGAAGGGAAUAUCCGGCAAAUAUUACCUGGUUGCAACGGCGAAAGCUUUGUGACUGUCAUCACUUAUGAUGGAGUGCUAUUC